This 262-nucleotide long non-coding RNA is filed under the name Olea europaea (common olive). Its description in RNAcentral is "long non-coding RNA (OEUR_LNC013462)". The record is from RNAcentral. Lineage: Eukaryota; Viridiplantae; Streptophyta; Magnoliopsida; Lamiales; Oleaceae.
UACAACUAUCGGGGGAUGGAGAUAGACCUCCAAGCACAUGAACUCGAUCUACUGGACGGACUAAGAGGGAAUCGACGGGAAGCAAGCAUGGGAGCACUCAAGCAAAUGCACCUUACAACACUUCGAAGACUAAUGCAAGGUUAAGGUAACUCACUAAAGGGGCUAAGGAAAUGAUCCUAGACAAGGAAGAAGAUAACCUUGAUCGGACCUUAGUCUGGAUUCGAAAACAAAGAAGAAACAGCUUUGACAUUGGCAAAUCNNN